This 945-nucleotide long non-coding RNA is filed under the name Rattus norvegicus (Norway rat). Its description in RNAcentral is "long non-coding RNA NONRATT004277". The record is from RNAcentral. Lineage: Eukaryota; Metazoa; Chordata; Mammalia; Rodentia; Muridae.
CUUACUUAUGCUUGUGUUUAGACAUUGUUACAGACGUAAGCAGAGGGAACUACCAUAAAGUUGUCCCUGGCCCGCGUAACUAACACCUAUGCUUUUCAGCAGUAUGAACAUCUGUGUUUUUAAAAUAUGUUUUCAAAAUAGGAAGUUUAGUUACUCAAUGCAUUCCAUAUCUUGGAUAGUUUUGCAUCACAUGGUAAAUCUUCAGAUAAAUCUGAAAGCUUGUUCAACUGAGUAAUAGCUCCUAGUGUUGGGUCGGUGCCAUGCUAUUGAAAAAGGAAUGCAAUGAGAUGAAGCAUGAUCUGGUUUGCGAUUUAAAAGGAGCAACAUCCACCUCAAUACUAGUGUAGUAUAUGACUGACCAUUUACUUUGAUUUGUAGUUCACAGCAACCCAAUGGACAUGCCAGGAAGAGAACUGAGUGAGGACAGAGACAGCGGCAUAGCACGCUCUGCAUCUCUGAGCAGCCUGCUCAUCACCCCAUUUCCCUCCCCAAACUCCUCACUCACCCGAAGCUGUGCCAGCAGCUACCAGCGACGUUGGCGACGUAGCCAAACAACAAGUUUGGAAAAUGGGGUAUUUCCUAGAUGGUCUAUAGAAGAAAGCUUUAAUCUGUCAGAUGAAAGUUGUGGCCCUAACCCAGGAAUUGUGAGGAAAAAGAAGAUUGCAAUUGGGGUAAUCUUUUCAUUAUCCAAAGAUGAAGAUGAAAAUAACAAAUUCAAUGAAUUCUUUUUUUCACAUUUUCCUCUCUUUGAAAGCCACAUGAACAAAUUAAAGAGUGCAAUAGAACAGGCUAUGAAAAUGAGCCGGAGAUCAGCUGAUGCUGGCCAGAGAAGUUUAGCAUACAAUCGAAUAGUUGAUGCCUUGACUGAAUUCAGAACAACAAUUUGUAAUCUUUACACAAUGCCAAGAAUUGGGGAACCUGUGUGGCUUACAAUGAUGUCAGGGA